AGGGAUUUAGCUCAGUGGCACAGAGCCUGCGCUUCAAAAGCGCAAGGUUGAGAGUUCAAUCCCUG
Molecule: transfer RNA, 65 nt
Filed under: Fukomys damarensis (Damara mole-rat)
Lineage: Eukaryota; Metazoa; Chordata; Mammalia; Rodentia; Bathyergidae
Rfam family: tRNA
About the family: Transfer RNA (tRNA) molecules are approximately 80 nucleotides in length.
Source: Rfam by way of RNAcentral